Trichonephila inaurata madagascariensis is the source of this 76-nucleotide non-coding RNA. The record is from the annotation of a GenBank genome assembly. Lineage: Eukaryota; Metazoa; Arthropoda; Arachnida; Araneae; Nephilidae.
UCUGUAGCGCAAUGGAUAGCGUGCGUUGGACUUCUAAUCCAAAGGUCAUGGUUUCGAAUUUUACCCACUUUAAAAG